GUGAGAGUGACAGGGGAGGGAGGGGAAAUGAGAGUGGGAAGGGGGAGGGGAGAAGAGAGUGACAAGGGAGAGGGGGGAGAAGAGAGUGACAAGGGAGGGAGAGGGGGGAGAAGAGUGACAUCCAUCACACACACAUGCAAUGCACCCCUUGCACACAGAAAAACACACAAUGCAUUACACACACAGACACAGACACACACACACACAAACAAUGCAACCCUUACACUCAAUGCACCCCUUACACACGCACACACUGCAUCCUGUGCAUACACAGAAACACACCUUGCAGCCCUUACACAUACAAACACAGAUUCACACAAUGCAUUCCUUACACACAUAUCAGGACAUCCCCUACACACUCCACCCCCUGUAAACAAUCUCAUUGGUGGAACAUGAAGGUGGACCCUGGAACCCAGACCUUGAGCUGUGUAAAGGGCCCCCAAAAAAUGGAGCUGCUUCCCGUUCUCCCAGAACAUUGAUUUUUGUGACCACAGUUACAAACAGCCUCCAGAGAGCCUGUUCUACACCAGACCAGUGGAGCCAGACUGCAGCUAGAGCCCAUCAUCAUCCUCAUCUCGUUGUAAGUAGGCAAUCUAGUAUAUUAUUCGUGGCACUAAUAUCUAAUUUACCUCACAUUAAAGAAACACUAUAGUCCCCAGAACCACUGCAGCUUAAUGUAGUUGUUCUGGUGUCUAUAGCCUGUCCCUGCAUGCCUUAUAAUGUAAACACCGCGGCACUGCAGCACUGGCGUUAGUUAACAUGGCAGAUCAUAUGGGCGGAGCAUUAUGAUGUAACAUGGGGGGGGGGGCGGCAAACUUUACUUUUGCCUAGGGCGGCAAAAAUCCUUGCACCCGGCC
Non-coding RNA from Pelobates cultripes (western spadefoot toad), 857 nucleotides. NCBI's taxonomy places the organism in Eukaryota, Metazoa, Chordata, Amphibia, Anura, Pelobatidae. The record is from the annotation of a GenBank genome assembly.